Molecule: long non-coding RNA, 230 nt
Filed under: Capsicum annuum
Lineage: Eukaryota; Viridiplantae; Streptophyta; Magnoliopsida; Solanales; Solanaceae
Description: long non-coding RNA (CANN_LNC006817)
Source: RNAcentral
UUAAUCACAAAAAAUGGCCUAUGAUCAUCUCUUAACCAACCAUCCUAUAACCUAGGUAUGAGAAACUGGGCAAGUUCUGGAUUCCACACACUCCGGGAACUAGGCAAUGCCUCACACAUAUUAUACAGGGUUACAUUUCUAGUCACUACUUAUUUAGUUCAUGCAGUUGUUCACCACAUUUAUUACAUCCCUAAUUCAAAUGCCAUUACUAGAUUCACAGCAGUCACACG